UCCAACAGAUGCAAUCGUUAAUA
Molecule: non-coding RNA, 23 nt
Filed under: Arabidopsis thaliana (thale cress)
Lineage: Eukaryota; Viridiplantae; Streptophyta; Magnoliopsida; Brassicales; Brassicaceae
Source: RNAcentral